AACGCACGAGACCUGCGGACCUGCGGAGGGAUCAUUACCGAGUUAUCCAACUCCCAACCCCUGUGAAUCAUACCUUUAAUUGUUGCUUCGGCGGGACUUCGCGCCCGCCGGGGACCCAAACCUUCUGAAUUUUUUAAUAAGUAUCUUCUGAGUGGUUAAAAAAAUGAAUCAAAACUUUUAACAACGGAUCUCU
RNAcentral lists this unclassified non-coding RNA (193 nucleotides) under soil metagenome. RNAcentral's name for it is "partial contains 5.8S ribosomal RNA, internal transcribed spacer 2, and large subunit ribosomal RNA". The record is from RNAcentral.